Long non-coding RNA from Cyprinus carpio carpio, 1702 nucleotides. The record is from Ensembl. Lineage: Eukaryota; Metazoa; Chordata; Actinopteri; Cypriniformes; Cyprinidae.
CAUCAGCUCAUUAGUAGAAUCUCCAAGACCUGAAGUGGGUUUGACAGAAAAAGGAGACAAGCUUGGGCAGGCCGGAACACAGCAAGCAAACAUCAAGCCGUCAGCGAGCAUCUGUUGGGCUAGUAGACUUUUUGUUGUUGUUUUUGUUGUGUUCUACACGUUUGCAGUCGUCAGGCUCAAAAUGUUUCUGGGGGUUAAUGAAUAGCAGUGACACACAGAACCAGUCUGAGUUUUGAUGGGUCCCAAGAGGUGUUUUUCUCCAGGCCUCGCACUUGAACACUAGUGCCUGAAAGGGGCGACUACACUUCAUGUUACCGCCAGUAAUGCAUCGCAGCAUUAUGGAUGGGCCCACUGUCCACUGCCUCUCAGUGCAAAGGAGGUCAGCAUCUCGCAAACGAGUGCCACGCUGCCCUCUAAGGUGAUUACUGAUAAAGAAUGACAUGCUGAAGGGAGACGCAGGGGAAAUAUACGCCAGAGUCCAAUCACCUCUCCUGCCUCAAUACAUUCUCUCAUCGGAAGGCCUGUAUAAAUACAGCGAGAACGAAUACUCCCCUCUCCUUAUGAGACACUUCAUCUCCAGAAGAGGACAGAAGGUCGAGUCAUCAAAAAUGCAGGAGGCUUUUGGCGGAGUAUCCACAUGUUCUCUCUGAUAUUGUGAUGAGGUCUCAAAUAUUUUCAAACAUACUGCAUUUUCUCUGUAAGAUACUCCCUGUCAUAGUGAAAUGGCCUGUGACACGAACACUGUAAAAGACACAGAGAAAAUGGUCCAUGUGGGAACCCUGCGUUUGGCUUCUGUUUCCAUGAUGUCACACUGGGUAGCUCCGCCCAUAGUGAAUCCUCAUUGGUCCAAGAUCCUGCACCACAUAGAUCUACAGAUCUCGGUUUCAGAGAAAGGACAGAAAACAUGUUAACCUUUGUAUAUCUUCAAUGAAGCCCUAGCAUGCAAUUGUAAAGUAUGUCUAAUUUAAAUAAAAUAUCCGACCAUCACACACUUUUUAACAUAUGAUACUUGAACAUUGUUAAACAUGUUAGCAUGUGCAUAAAAACACAACAUUUUGUCUUUUGACUUCUAGCAUGGCUAGCUAAAAUAGUAGACUUUAAAUAAAAUCACAAGCUUGGCAUUUCUGCUUUUUAAACCUCCAAUAUGACCAAUUUGAAGUCCAUUACCACAGUUAAACUUUUCUGUCACAAAUACUAUUCAUAGACAAUUAGCUGUCCAUUAAACUAAUUAAUGUGCAUUAAAUUAACCAGAAUACUCCUAAUAAGAAGAUUAGAUCUUCAACUCAAAUCCAAGGAUGUGUUUUCGUACCCACACACAAAGAAGUAGACUGUCAGAGAAGGAGAGAAGAGAGUCCAUACUGUUUGAGCCUCUGUGUGUGCACACAUACACUUGAAAUAUUAGGUUGUUAGCAAGCACCAUUACGAAGUGAGAAAGGGAGGCGAACAGAGAGCCAUUCUUUCACGAGGAGGUGCCAUGUCCCAACCAUCACACUCCCGGCUCAUGAGGACUCCAAUGGCACCUGAGGGGGAAUCUCAUGGCUGUCAUCCCAGAAAGCCUCCUGCACUGAUGCAGGCCUGCCAUCUGCUCUCCAUAUGAGAUAAAAAUGAGGAAUUGUCUUCGAAAAGCCAUCUUUUUCUCUUCUUCAACUCACCAACUGAAAAAUCGUUGUUAUUGCUAAGAUAUUCUGGAAACAAAAACAGG